GACGAACGCUGGCGGCGUGCUUAACACAUGCAAGUCGAACGGCAAGGCCCCGCUUUUGUGGGGUGCUCGAGUGGCGAACGGGGGAGUAACACGUGAGUAACCUGCCCUUGACUUUGGGAUAACUUCAGGAAACUGGGGCUACUACCGGAUAGGAGCUCCUGCUGCAUGGAGGGGGUUGGAAAGUUUCGGCCGGCGGGGCUGGACGGGCGGCUUAUCGGCUAGUUGGUGGGGGAGUGGCAUACCAAGGCAUUGGCGGGUAGCCGGCCUGAGAGGGUGACCGGGCACCUUGCGACUGCGGUACGGCCCAGUCUGCAACGGUGGGCAGCGGUGGGGAGUAUUGCACAGUGGGCGGAAGUCUGUUGCAGCAGCGUCGCGUGCGUGAUGCCGUCCUUCUGGUUGUAAACCGCUUCCGCCUGUGACGAAGCGGGUGUGACGGUAACGGGUAAAGAAGCACCGGCUAACUACGUG
RNAcentral lists this ribosomal RNA (468 nucleotides) under uncultured bacterium. Its description in RNAcentral is "partial 16S ribosomal RNA". It matches the Rfam family "Bacterial small subunit ribosomal RNA", at positions 28 to 507 of the family's 1533-position model. The record is from RNAcentral.